CUGACCCUGGGUCACACAGAUAAAUCUAGCCCUUGCUUUUGGAGAGGAGAACCCUCCCCCUGGCCCCUUUGGUGGGUGGAGCCUCACUAACUGCCAUUUUUAAGAGAGUUGGCAGCCAGCGUUGCGUCAGGAAAGACAAUACUUUGGAGGGAAGAAAAGAGAAAUGCUGAGAUCACUGGGAGAAAAAGACACAUUCCAGAUCACUCACGGAGAGGUGUUCCAACUAAGUAGCAUUGACUCCUGCUACUUGGAUUCAUUGGUCACGAACUCCAAAGUUUUACAUUUUAUAAGAUGCUCAUAGUAGGUCUUACUGGGUCAACGAAAGCUGUUUGGAACAUUGCUGUAAACAGAAUUAUUGAGUCGCUUUAAAAUCAGAUAGAUUCAGUAUUUCUCACCUCAGGUGUUGACUAAAAGUACUUGGAUGACGUGGUGGUGAAUGGUGGUAAUCUGAGAAAAGAGAAAGAAAAAGAAGAUGCAACAGAGAUGAAGAAGAAAGGGAUGAUGAUGAAAGGAGGAAAUCAUAGUCAUAAUCAUUCCCCUUUCCCCCAUCUUUCUGAUGCAGCUAAAUAAGCUACAAAAAAAGGAAUCGUUCCUUUCGGCGUGGCCUUGAAGUUUCAGGUUAAAUGAAUGGCACCUAUACAACCUGUACUGCAGAUAGCUCCUUUUUAAAAUUCACAUUUGGCUUCAAUGGAUCUUCAAAUCUAUUGAUCUAUAACAUAUUAAUUCCCAAAUAGAGUAAAACUGGGAAAGAUGGCUUGUUCUUCAAAUGAUGUAAACACUUGGGAAUACUGAAAAUUGUGGGCAUGUAAGAGAAUGUAUUUUGGCACACCACCUCUGGCUAUCAUUAGUCCAACCAACUAGGUGGAAGAACUGUGGCUGUGUCAUCAAGAUUUGAACAAAAAUAAUAAUAUAAUUUGGAAACAUUAUUGAAGUUGCCUAAUUGUAGAGAAACUUAUGCAUAUUCCAAAAAAAAAACAAGAAACAAAAAGAGUUAAACAACUGCAAAAGUAUUUUUGGAUUUAAUUAGCCUAAUAAUUGCAAUAGCCUUCACAUGAAAAUGGGAAAAAUGACACAUUUGACACUCUUACUGGUUCCCAUGUGUGUCCAAAAACAGCCAAAUCGAGCAUACAAUUUUAGCCUAAAUUAUCGAAAUAAACAAUCAUUAAACACAAUCCAAGUUUCACGAACUUCCUAACUCAAACCUGCGUUAACCUGCCGAUUUUUAACGCAACUUCUCGUUUUCUUUCUUUUUUUUUUAUCAAAAAGGCAUCUAACUCGUCAUGUUACUUUGAUACCAGGUGUUGACAAUUUAGCCGACAUAAUUCGUGUUUACUGUUAAAACCUGUUUUCUUCUAUUGAUAACUAGUGGCUCUUGGAUUGGUGGAGGUUUCGUAUCGGAAGUAGUUUAUUUAGGCCUAUGCAAAUGAGGAGUUGGGGUUGUAGAUAUUUACGUUCAACGGGAGCCGCCCUUCAUUCACCACAUGGUUAACAGCGAGUAGCUUGGCGCCACUUUCGCAAAUUUAUGUUGUUUUAUCAAGUUUAUAUGCUUUUAAAUGAUACAAGUAAAGGCGAACAAGGUUACUUAACGUAGCUAUAACAUAAGGAAGUUUGUGCGUUAGUUUGGUAGAUAUGCCUGGAGCAGUGACAGUAAACGACUUUGUCCAGUGUUCGCCAGGGAUUGCACCCGUCACCGCCGCUGAUGGGGGAUUCUUUUCAGUUCUACUUGGAUACAGCGCUGAAGGAUGCUCCCAGGACUGGUACUGUCCCUGUAGUGUCAAAGUGCUUACAGUGCAGGUAGUACUAAGUGAUACCUACUGCAGUGGAGGCACUUCAAGCACUACACUGACACUCAAACCAGCCAACACCAAUACAGCAGACUCUCAUCAUCUAUUAACUUCUGCUUAUGCUAAGGUGCAUCUAGUGCAGAUAGUGAAGUAGACUAGCACCUACUGCCCUAAGUGCUCCUUCUGGCAUAAGGAGCAGGGACUCGCAACUGGUGUGUUUGCCUUGCUUUUUAUGCAGUUCUCUGCUAGUUUUGCAUAGUUGCACUACAAGAAAAAAUGAGUUGUGCAAAUCUAUGCAAAACUGAUGGUGGCCUGCUUCCCCAUCUUUCCUAUGCUGUGUGCUUGGAUGAGGCUGCCUGUGCACAUCUUGCAACGCUUCUGUGUGUGUUUGUUUGUGUGAGACCCCCAGCCACUCUGUCCUUUACAUCAGGUUUCAGCAGUAUUAAAGUGCUUAUAGUGCAGGUAGUUACUUAUUCAUCUACUGCAGUGUGAGCACUUGAAGUACUUCUAGAUUGUGGGCAUCAGCAUGGACCCUGAAGCUACGAGACUUGCCACUGGACUCUGGUUAGUUUUGCUGGUUUGCAUUCCGCUGGUUUAACUGUUGAUGUGCAAAUCCAUGCAAAACUGAUCAUGGCAGUGAAUCGUCUGCCACCUCAGAUGGGUAAUCCCUUUCUGUGCAGGUUGGGAUUAGUAGCAAUGCUCUUGUACUUGUAAGGUAUUGCACUUGUCCCGGCCUGUUUAGGACUUGGGAAACUAUACUGCUGCCUCUUGUAUUGUGUAUGUAAAUUUGGCCAUAAUAUAGGUUCCCCCUGUUUUAAUGCUUUGAAUGUACAUGUUGUAUUAUUGAAUCUGCUUCUUACUUUUUGUACAACGUGACGAAUAAAAGUUGACAAACUUA
This is a long non-coding RNA of Clupea harengus (Atlantic herring), 2682 nucleotides long. RefSeq lists it as uncharacterized. Lineage: Eukaryota; Metazoa; Chordata; Actinopteri; Clupeiformes; Clupeidae. The record is from RefSeq and is a predicted model, not a curated record.